GCCGGUGUAGCUCAGUUGGUAGAGCAGCGCAUUCGUAAUGCGAAGGUCGGGAGUUCGACUCUCUUCACCGGCACCA
RNAcentral lists this transfer RNA (76 nucleotides) under Rubrivivax gelatinosus. Its description in RNAcentral is "tRNA-Thr". It matches the Rfam family "tRNA". From Rfam's summary of the family: Transfer RNA (tRNA) molecules are approximately 80 nucleotides in length. Their secondary structure includes four short double-helical elements and three loops (D, anti-codon, and T loops). Further hydrogen bonds mediate the characteristic L-shaped molecular structure. tRNAs have two regions of fundamental functional importance: the anti-codon, which is responsible for specific mRNA codon recognition, and the 3' end, to which the tRNAs corresponding amino acid is attached (by aminoacyl-tRNA synthetases). tRNAs cope with the degeneracy of the genetic code in two manners: having more than one tRNA (with a specific anti-codon) for a particular amino acid; and 'wobble' base-pairing, i.e. permitting non-standard base-pairing at the 3rd anti-codon position. Lineage: Bacteria; Pseudomonadati; Pseudomonadota; Betaproteobacteria; Burkholderiales; Sphaerotilaceae. The record is from RNAcentral. RNAcentral also lists the same sequence under 96 other names.